AUGGCUGGAAAGAGGAGUGGAGGCUGCACAGUGCAUGCACUCAGCAGGGUCACAUGUGAACAGAAUGCAGAGCAGAGGAGGCAGCAGCAGAGGACGCACUCCUAUCUCUCUCUCAAUUAUUGGGAGCUCUCACUCCCAGCCUCAGUCUCACACUCUCACUACUCGCGUCCUCAUCCUCCGUCGAUCCACCCACCGCCGGUGCCCCACGCUGCCGUCUCCAACUCCAACCUCGAUGCAGCGAAUAAAGGAAAGACGACGACGCCCAUGGCACAUGAAUUUUCAGUACCUGGGAGCUUGAGCAAGGACAAACCAGCUUAA
This 318-nucleotide ribosomal RNA is filed under the name Triticum aestivum (bread wheat). RNAcentral's name for it is "partial small subunit ribosomal RNA". Lineage: Eukaryota; Viridiplantae; Streptophyta; Magnoliopsida; Poales; Poaceae. The record is from RNAcentral.